UUACUUAGCCCUAAAAAAAUAAAUCAUGAUAGUUUCUUCUCUACUUCUACUUGCAAAACUUUAUUUCUUCUUUUUUUUAUCCUCCAUAAUUGGUUUUCUUGCCACUUCACCAUUUUCCCCUUAGUCACUUCCCUCCUGUAUUAACACCUCUGAAUCUGUCUCAAUCUUUACCUUGCUAAAACCCGGCUCCUUUGCUAACUUAACCGCUUCUCUCACAGCCGAUGCUUCAACCACCAAAGCUGAGCCAGCUAGAGCCUCUUCUGGAGCCCUCCAUUUUUCUUGCGUUUGCUUGUUCACACUUUUUUUUUUUUUUUCUCCAUCUGACUGUCAUUCAGAAUCUUUUCAGCAAAGAAAUUUGUGAAUUUUGAAUUAAUUGAUUUUAGAAGAACAUAAGCACGUUCACUUCCAAAAUUUCAUCCUGAUUAACUAUGCAAAAAUAAUUAGUGUUUGUUUUGUAUACAAUAAUAAUAUUCUACACGUUUUCCCAACCACAUGCUUGCCAAAGUGAUAGUGACGCCAAGCUUUAGAAAUAAGUAAUGAGUCUUUAUGAUUGUUCCUUUUUUUUUUUUUUGUAUUCCCAGAAAAAUGAAUGAUUGUACCUUGUUUCCAUUCUUUCUUUUUUUUUUCCCAAAACACCUUGUUUACAUUAAUACUUUGUAACUUUACAGCAG
RNAcentral lists this long non-coding RNA (671 nucleotides) under Durio zibethinus. Its description in RNAcentral is "long non-coding RNA (DZIB_LNC001916)". Lineage: Eukaryota; Viridiplantae; Streptophyta; Magnoliopsida; Malvales; Malvaceae. The record is from RNAcentral.